RNAcentral lists this ribosomal RNA (809 nucleotides) under Calepitrimerus sp. 18sr30. Its description in RNAcentral is "bacterial SSU rRNA". It matches the Rfam family "Eukaryotic small subunit ribosomal RNA", at positions 389 to 910 of the family's 1831-position model. The record is from RNAcentral. Lineage: Eukaryota; Metazoa; Arthropoda; Arachnida; Trombidiformes; Eriophyidae.
ACAAGCCUGAGAAACGGCUAGUAGGACUACGGUCUGCAGCAGGCGCGAAACUUACACAAUGCUAGAUUACAAUUAGCGAUGUAGUGAAGAAAAAUAACGAUGUACUUUCAUCUACAAAUGAUAGUACAAUUGGAAUGAGACGACUAUAAACCAGUUAGUCGAGUAACAAAUGGAGGGCAAGUCUGGUGCCAGCAGCCGCGGUAAUUCCAGCUCCAUUAGCAUACAUUAAAGUUGUUGCGGUUAAAAAGCUCGUAGUUGAAUUUUAGGCGGGCUCUAUUGGAUUGCAAUCGUUAAGACUACAUCUUGCUCCGGCUUGAUUAGUUGGUUGUAUCAUCCUAUAGGAACCCGCUGUUUCGUCACUUAAUUGAGUGCGAAGCGGGCUGAAACAGUUGCUUAACCUUCGCGGUUGCAUUGUUCCAGCAAGUUUACCUUGAGAAAAUUAGAGUGCUCACAGCAGGCAGUUGGGGCGUAAAAACCCCUUUAUGCUUGGAUAAUGUUGCAUGGAAUAAUAGAAUACGGCCUCGGUUCUAUUCUGUUGGUCUUAUAGAACAACAAACAAGUUGGUUAAAGCGACAAAAAGUUCGUUUGUGAGUGUGGCCUUAAGGGUCUUUCAUGUUGAUUAGCAAGUUAAUUAGCGUUGUGUUACCUAGGGCCUUAAAAUCUUAGCGUCGCGUGCUAAUUAAUCUCUAAUCAGCUGUUUGUUGCCCUUAAAGUCAAUUAAAGCACUCCUAAUUGGGCUAGCUUUCUAAUCAACUGAGGCAAUGGUUAAAAGAAAUAGUCGCGGCGGCAUCAGUACUGCAUCGUGAGAG